UGACCUCGAAUCAGGUGGGACUACCCGCUGAAUUUAAGCAUA
Molecule: ribosomal RNA, 42 nt
Filed under: Begonia formosana
Lineage: Eukaryota; Viridiplantae; Streptophyta; Magnoliopsida; Cucurbitales; Begoniaceae
Description: partial 28S ribosomal RNA
Source: RNAcentral